CACGGGGGGAGCAAGCGUUGUUCGGAAUCACUGGGCGUAAAGGGCGUGUAGGCGGUCAGGUAAGUGAGACGUGAAAUGCCCCGGCUUACCCGGGGACCUGCGUCUCAUACUGCGUGGCUUGAGUACGGGAGAGGGUGUGGGAAUUCCUGGUGUAGCGGUGAAAUGCGUAGAUAUCAGGAGGAACACCGGUGGCGAAGGCGCACACCUGGCCCGAUAUUGACGCUGAGGCGCGAAAGCUAGGGGAGCAAACGGG
Molecule: ribosomal RNA, 253 nt
Filed under: uncultured bacterium
Lineage: Bacteria
Description: partial 16S ribosomal RNA
Rfam family: Bacterial small subunit ribosomal RNA
Source: RNAcentral